UCUCUGGCAUCUUGAAUUUAGGGCCCUUCAGUUUCGCAUCUGGACCUUCAAUAUUCACAUCUGGAACAUCAACGUCCACCUUGGGUCCUGAGACGUCAAGGUCAGCCUUGGGCAGGUUCACAUCCACUUCAGGGCCCUCUGCUUUGAAGCCAGGCAUGCUGAACUUGGGCAUUUUCAUCUUGGGCAUCUUCAGGUGCCAGUCUGGGCCAUGAACAUCCACAUCUGGGGCAUCAAUGUCCACUUUGGGCCCUCUGAUGUCAACAUCUGGCACUUUCAUUUCACCUUCUACCUUGGGAACAGACACAUCCAUAUCUGGGGCAUCAAUGUCCACUUUGGGCCCUUUAAUGUCAACAUCUGGCACUUUCAUUUCAC
RNAcentral lists this long non-coding RNA (372 nucleotides) under Homo sapiens (human). Its description in RNAcentral is "HSALNT0176163". The record is from RNAcentral. Lineage: Eukaryota; Metazoa; Chordata; Mammalia; Primates; Hominidae.